ACGGAAGGCAGCAGUGGGGGAUAUUGGACAAUGGGGGGAACCCUGAUGCAGCAACGCCACGUGUGGGAAGAAGCAUUUCGGUGUGUAAACCACUGUCGUGAGGGAAUAAUGCUUGGUCUCGGCCAAGUUGAAUGUACCUCGAAAGGAAGCACCGGCAAGCUUCGUGCCAGCAGCCGCGGUAAUACGAGGGGUGCAAGCGUUGUUCGGAAUCACUGGGCGUAAAGGGAGCGUAGGCGGAGACGCAAGCAGUCUGUACAAUACCGGGGCCCAACCCCGGACCUGCAGACUGGACUGUGCCUCUUGGAUAGUUCAGGGGCAGGCGGAAUUCCUGGUGUAGCGGUGGAAUGCGUAGAGAUCAGGAAGAACACCGAUGGCGAAGGCAGCCUGCUGGGGACUCAUCGACGCUGAGGCUCGAAAGUGCGGGUAGCAAACAGGAUUAGAACCCUGGUA
This 450-nucleotide ribosomal RNA is filed under the name uncultured Fibrobacter sp. RNAcentral describes it as "partial 16S ribosomal RNA". It matches the Rfam family "Bacterial small subunit ribosomal RNA", at positions 341 to 792 of the family's 1533-position model. The record is from RNAcentral. Lineage: Bacteria; Pseudomonadati; Fibrobacterota; Fibrobacteria; Fibrobacterales; Fibrobacteraceae.